AGGAGGAAAAUGAAGAGGGGAAAAAAAUCUUGAAAAAUAGCAGUCUACCCAUUCUACCUAGACUGCGUUGUGUCGCACCCCCACCCCACGCGAGAGAUUUGUAAAGCGCGCGCCGCGGAUGUACGUUCAAGCUAAUACCUAUAGACAGAUGUGUCCCCACUGGUUUCAAAGUUUCCUCUUCCCUUCACGCGCGGGCCCCCAUCUCUGUCCUGCAGGAGGUGGGAAAGGAAGGCUUGCCUCGCGCAGAGCUCCUGUGGCCAAGCUUCUUGGAAAUCCGCCACUGCAACUUUGUGCAGCCGCGGCGCGCCGGCGGCGACCCUCUUUGUUUAAGUUCUCGGAUGCCAUCAUCUGGGAAACCUGCAGCCCUGUACCAGCGCGGGGCCCGCGCGUGCGAGUCCGACCGCUUGCUGCGGCUGCUCGCUCUCCAACCCCCCCUCCCUCCUUUCCUCCCUCCCACCCACCCUCCUCUGGGAUUCUUGCAAGUAUCGUGCGUGCCCUUGUGAGUUUGGAGGGUGCCGGUCAACGAAGCCACGCGAGGUAUUUGAAAGGCAAUCAGCCCGACCGUCCCCCUAGAUUCAUCGUUUUGCGAGGUGGCUGUGACCGCUGUCGACAAGUGCUUUCUCAGCCGCAACCCAGCUGAAAGAGUUAAGGGGCCCGGGAGGAGGAGUGCGCCCGCUGCAGGGCACCGGACCGCAAUCUGCAGUUUCUAGUCCAAGCAGCAGCCGAGAACGUAACCCGGCGGUCGGUGUGCUCCGAAUAUAAAGAACUGGCCUGCCUUCUCCCCGAUGCAUAAUUUCUCUAGAGGGCUCACUUCUGUGAACUCAGUUACAGAGGGAGCUCUCCAGCUCAGCAGCAGCCUCGCAGCCUCUGCGUGAUCUCGAGAUUAACCGUAGACGCGGGGCAUUUAUGUAGGAUCGGGUCCAGCUCCUGCUUGCCGGGGUGAAAAGAUACCAUCGUAGAAACAGAUCUAAAAGGCAGCAGUAACCAAAGCCCCAAAACAGAACGGAUUCCCCCCUCCAUUCCAAAAGGUUCCUUUUUAUAUUUAUAUAUGCGUAUAUGUAUAUAUAAAAGAUGGAACACAGAUUUCAUUGAAUAAAUCUGAGAUCUCCAGGUGCA
This 1116-nucleotide long non-coding RNA is filed under the name Mus musculus (house mouse). Its description in RNAcentral is "POU domain, class 3, transcription factor 3 adjacent noncoding transcript 1". The record is from RNAcentral. Lineage: Eukaryota; Metazoa; Chordata; Mammalia; Rodentia; Muridae.